GUAGGUGGCAAGCGUUGUCCCGGGAAUUAUUGGGCGUAAAGCGCGCGCAGGGCGGUCCUUUAAGUCUGAUGUGAAAGCCCACGGCUCAACCGUGGAGGGUCAUUGGAAACUGGGGGACUUGAGUACAGAAGAGGAAAGCGGAAUUCCAAGUGUAGCGGUGAAAUGCGUAGAGAUUUGGAGGAACACCAGUGGCGAAGGCGGCUUUCUGGUCUGUAACUGACGCUGGGGCGCGAAAGCGUGGGGAGCAAACAGGAUUAGAUACCCUGGUAGUCCACGCCGUAAACGAUGAGUGCUAAGUGUUAGGGGGUUUCCGCCCCUUAGUGCUGCAGCUAACGCAUUAAGCACUCCGCCUGGGGAGUACGGCCGCAAAGGCUG
Molecule: ribosomal RNA, 375 nt
Filed under: uncultured organism
Description: partial 16S ribosomal RNA
Rfam family: Bacterial small subunit ribosomal RNA
Source: RNAcentral